This is a long non-coding RNA of Oreochromis aureus, 1151 nucleotides long. RefSeq lists it as uncharacterized. NCBI's taxonomy places the organism in Eukaryota, Metazoa, Chordata, Actinopteri, Cichliformes, Cichlidae. The record is from RefSeq and is a predicted model, not a curated record. The transcript has 3 exons.
AAUCCAUAUCUAAUCUGUCUAAUAGCUAUCUAAUCUCGGAAGCUGUUUACUUUCACAGACUGACAGCCAUGCUUCUUCUGUCACCGAGUGAAGACAGAAACAGCUGUGAUCAUCUUCAGUUUUUUUUAUUCCCCUGACAGAAUUUCCUACACUAUCUAAGAAUACGAGAGAAAAGCGAAUAAAGAAGUUGGCUAGCUCGAUGCUACAGCUGCUAAAUAAGCUAACUAAACUCACCGAGCGCCCGUUUGAAGUCGGCGGAAGGCUGCGGAGACUGAAAAUCUGUCCAGGAUGUACUUCUCCUCUUGAGACAACAACUGGAUAGGUGUGAGGCUUCCUAAGACCCUGAACUGGGAUUCCUGAGCGUGAGUGUUUGGCAGAGUGGCGUGGCGUGUCAGAAGUGGAGCGUGUGCUGUGGCUGAAGUGGAGCGUGGUGUGUGGAUCGACAGUCAAGAGUGAUGUCCCUCUACCCCCCUUUCUGUGGAUCCCUGGAACCCUUGACUCCCCCACAUCUGUAUAUAACUCACUUGGUGUUUGUAAAUAAACCUUCAAUGCAUUUUCUCCCUGAGUCCACACCUGAGUCAGUUCAGUCUGCCUUAACAAGUAUAAACAGGAAAGAAUAAUUUAGGAGUCUUAUAAGUUUUAUAAUAACGACUCAUGUUUUACAGAUACCUUUACUUUAGACCCUAGUUUUAGCCUCAGACCUUUUUGACUGAUGCCAACAAAUACUAAUGCUACCCUUUGAUUUAGGUUAAAUAAGGAAAGACUGCUAGUUACCAGCAUAGACUAGUUUGCUGGUUAACAGACUACAGUGAUAAGGUUAUUGAAAAGUAAAUUUCACCUAAGCACAUUUGCUAUUAUGUCCAUGUUGUAGCACAUAAAAAUAUUUAGUUAAUACUUGCAGACAUACAUCCAACGCCUUUGUGUAACCGUGGCUUUACUCUAACCUUUGUUGCUGACCUGGUCAUUUAAAGGAUGCAACAUAUUUUUGUGUUGAGCUGAUGUGGUUAAAUCCCAAGUAUAUCACGAUUCAAGUCUUAUACAAGUCCAGUGUUGGUGUUUAGAGCUGUUGUAACAAUAUAUAAGUAGUAUCCCCAUAAGACAUGUCUAUAUCAAGUUUUUAACCUUACAAUAAGCAGAGAUAUUUUUAUGUA